UGUGCAUAUUUUAUGGCCUAGAUAACUC
This 28-nucleotide non-coding RNA is filed under the name Mus musculus (house mouse). Lineage: Eukaryota; Metazoa; Chordata; Mammalia; Rodentia; Muridae. The record is from RNAcentral.